CUCAGUGCUCAAUGAGCCAUUUGCUAGUGAUCCAUUGAGCUGUCAAGAGGGAAAAGAGUAAAAACACAGCUUUUGGAUGAAGUAGCAACUUACUUUGUUUUACUUCAAUCAAUGUUGUGACAAGA
RNAcentral lists this small nucleolar RNA (125 nucleotides) under Nannospalax galili (Upper Galilee mountains blind mole rat). The record is from RNAcentral. Lineage: Eukaryota; Metazoa; Chordata; Mammalia; Rodentia; Spalacidae.